This 253-nucleotide ribosomal RNA is filed under the name uncultured bacterium. RNAcentral's name for it is "partial 16S ribosomal RNA". It matches the Rfam family "Bacterial small subunit ribosomal RNA", at positions 524 to 776 of the family's 1533-position model. The record is from RNAcentral.
UACGGAGGGUGCGAGCGUUGUCCGGAAUCAUUGGGCGUAAAGAGCGCGCAGGCGGUCGUUCAAGUCGCGUGUGAAAGCCCCCGGCUCAACUGGGGAGGGUCACGCGAUACUGAUCGACUCGAAGGCAGGAGAGGGUAGUGGAAUUCCCGGUGUAGUGGUGAAAUGCGUAGAUAUCGGGAGGAACACCAGUGGCGAAGGCGACUACCUGGCCUGUUCUUGACGCUGAGGCGCGAAAGCUAGGGGAGCAAACGGG